Molecule: ribosomal RNA, 499 nt
Filed under: uncultured bacterium
Lineage: Bacteria
Description: partial 16S ribosomal RNA
Rfam family: Bacterial small subunit ribosomal RNA
Source: RNAcentral
GACGAACGCUGGCGGCGUGCCUAAUACAUGCAAGUCGAGCGAAGUUUUUCUGGUGCUUGCACCGGAAAAACUUAGCGGCGAACGGGUGAGUAACACGUAAAGAACCUGCCUCAUAGACUGGGACAACUAUUGGAAACGAUAGCUAAUACCGGAUAAUAGCAUUAACUGCAUGGUUGAUGUUUAAAAGUUGGUUUUGCUAACACUAUGAGAUGGCUUUGCGGUUCAUUAGCUAGUUGGUGGGGUAAAGGCCUACCAAGGCGACGAUGCAUAGCCGACCUGAGAGGGUGAUCGGCCACACUGGGACUGAGACACGGCCCAGACUCCUACGGGAGGCAGCAGUAGGGAAUCUUCCGCAAUGGGCGAAAGCCUGACGGAGCAACGCCGCGUGAGUGAAGAAGGAUUUCGGUUCGUAAAGCUCUGUUGUUAGGGAAGAAUGAUUGUGUAGUAACUAUACACAGUAGAGACGGUACCUAACCAGAAAGCCACGGCUAACUACGUG